AAUAAAGUGAUCAAGCACUUUCUCUGACGUUUGAAAUAUUGGCGCCAUCUUAAACAAGGAUUUCAGUAAAGUCUAAUUCUCAGAUACUCUGAUGAAUUGUAACGACUGAUGACUAAGUUUUGUCGGAUAGAGGAGGAGGAGGGGGGCAGAAAACUUUGGUUGGAGCUUAAAAAUGGAGGUCAAACAGAGGAGGUCAAGGCAGUUACUUGGACAUACGGAGAAACCAACCUUAUCCUUACAAUACCACAUGCAGGGAAUAUAGGU
Eurytemora carolleeae is the source of this 264-nucleotide long non-coding RNA. RefSeq lists it as uncharacterized. The record is from RefSeq and is a predicted model, not a curated record. The transcript is spliced from 4 exons. NCBI's taxonomy places the organism in Eukaryota, Metazoa, Arthropoda, Copepoda, Calanoida, Temoridae.